Molecule: ribosomal RNA, 940 nt
Filed under: uncultured archaeon
Lineage: Archaea
Description: bacterial SSU rRNA
Rfam family: Archaeal small subunit ribosomal RNA
Source: RNAcentral
GUUGAUCCUGCCGGACCCCACUGCUAUCGGGAUAGGACUAAGACAUGCUAGUUGAGCGCUUCCAGCCAACACGGGAGCGCAGCGCACAGCUCAGUAACACGUGGCUAAUCUGCCCUUGGGAUAGGAACAUCCCCGGGAAACUGGGGCUAAUUCCCAAUAGGCGAAGAACUCUGGAAUGAGUCUUCACCAGAAAAGACGUUUACGUUAUGCUCGUAGGCGUCGCCCAAGGAUGAGGCCGCGACCGAUCAGGUUGUUGGUGAGGUAAUGGCUCACCAAGCCUUUUACCGGUGCGGGCCGCGAGAGCGGGAGCCCGGAGAUGGGCACUGAGACAAGGGCCCAGGCCCUACGGGGCGCAGCAGUCGCGAAAACUUUGCAAUACACGAAAGUGUGACAGGGCUAUCCCGAGUGCCAUCCGCUGAGGAAGGCUUUUACCCAGUCUAGAACGCUGGGGGAAUAAGGAGAGGGCAAGUCUGGUGUCAGCCGCCGCGGUAAUACCAGCUCUUCGAGUGGUGUGGAUGUUUAUUGGGCCUAAAGCAUCCGUAGCUGGCUGAGUUAGUCCCCUGUUAAAUCCACCGAAUUAAUCGUUGGAUUGCGGGGGAUACUGCUCGGCUAGGGGACGAGAGAGGCAGACGGUAUUUCCGGGGUAGGGGUGAAAUCCUAUAAUCCCGGGAAGACCACCAGUGGCGAAGGCUGUCUGCUAGAACGCGCCCGACGGUGAGGGAUGAAAGCUGGGGGAGCGAACCGGAUUAGAUACCCGGGUAGUCCCAGCUGUAAACGAUGCAGGCUAGGUGUUUGGACGGCCACGUGCCGUUCUAGUGCCGCAGGGAAGCUGUUAAGCCUGCCGCCUGGGGAGUACGAUCGCAAGAUUGAGACUUAAAGGAAUUGGCGGGGGAGCACCACAAGGGGUGAAGCUUGCGGUUUAAUUGGAUUCAACGCCGGG